UUGACGGGGACCCGCACAAGCGGUGGAGCAUGUGGUUUAAUUCGAAGCAACGCGAAGAACCUUACCAAAUCUUGACAUCCUCUGACCCCUCUAGAGAUAGAGUUUUCCCCUUCGGGGGACAGAGUGACAGGUGGUGCAUGGUUGUCGUCAGCUCGUGUCGUGAGAUGUUGGGUUAAGUCCCGCAACGAGCGCAACCCUUAAGCUUAGUUGCCAUCAUUAAGUUGGGCACUCUAAGUUGACUGCCGGUGACAAACCGGAGGAAGGUGGGGAUGACGUCAAAUCAUCAUGCCCCUUAUGAUUUGGGCUACACACGUGCUACAAUGGACAAUACAAAGGGCAGCGAAACCGCGAGGUCAAGCAAAUCCCAUAAAGUUGUUCUCAGUUCGGAUUGUAGUCUGCAACUCGACUAUAUGAAGCUGGAAUCGCUAGUAAUCGUAGAUCAGCAUGCUACGGUGAAUACGUUCCCGGGUCUUGUACACACCGCCCGUCACACCACGAGAGUUUGUAACACCCGAAGCCGGUGGAGUAACCAUUUGGAGCUAGCCGUCGAAGGUGGGACAAAUGAUUGGGGUGAAGUCGUAACAAGGUAGCCGUAUCGGAAGGUGCGGCUGGAUCACCUCCUUU
Molecule: ribosomal RNA, 624 nt
Filed under: Staphylococcus epidermidis
Lineage: Bacteria; Bacillati; Bacillota; Bacilli; Caryophanales; Staphylococcaceae
Description: bacterial SSU rRNA
Rfam family: Bacterial small subunit ribosomal RNA
Source: RNAcentral